CCUACGGGAGGCAGCAGUGAGGAAUAUUGGUCAAUGGACGCAAGUCUGAACCAGCCAUGCCGCGUGCAGGAAGACGGCUCUAUGAGUUGUAAACUGCUUUUGUACGAGGGUAAACGCAGAUACGCGUAUCUGUCUGAAAGUAUCGUACGAAUAAGGAUCGGCUACCUCCGUGCCAGCAGACGCGGUAAUACGGAGGGUUCAAGCGUUAUCCGGAUUUAUUGGGUUUAAAGGGUGCGUAGGCGGUCGGAUAAGUUAGAGGUUAAAUCCCGAGGCUCAACUUCGGAAUUGCCUCUGAUACUGUUCGGCUAGAGAGUAGUUGCGGUAGGCGGAAUGUAUGGUGUAGCGGUGAAAUGCUUAGAGAUCAUACAGAACACCGAUUGCGAAGGCAGCUUACCAAGCUACUUCUGACGUUGAGGCACGAAAGCGUGGGGAGCAAACAGGAUUAGAUACCCUUGUAGUC
Molecule: ribosomal RNA, 460 nt
Filed under: uncultured bacterium
Lineage: Bacteria
Description: partial 16S ribosomal RNA
Rfam family: Bacterial small subunit ribosomal RNA
Source: RNAcentral